GAUGAACGCUAGCGGCAGGCUUAACACAUGCAAGUCGAGGGGUAUAGUUCUUCGGAACUAGAGACCGGCGCACGGGUGCGUAACGCGUAUGCAAUCUACCUUUUACAGAGGGAUAGCCCAGAGAAAUUUGGAUUAAUACCUCAUAGUAUGUGAGAAUCGCAUGGUUUUCACAUUAAAGUCACAACGGCAAAAGAUGAGCAUGCGUCCCAUUAGUUAGUUGGUAAGGUAACGGCUUACCAAGACUACGAUGGGUAGGGGUCCUGAGAGGGAGAUCCCCCACACUGGUACUGAGACACGGACCAGACUCCUACGGGAGGCAGCAGUGAGGAAUAUUGGACAAUGGGCGCAAGCCUGAUCCAGCCAUGCCGCGUGCAGGAUGACGGUCCUAUGGAUUGUAAACUGCUUUGUACAGGAAGAAACACCUCUACGUGUAGAGACUUGACGGUACUGUAAGAAUAAGGAUCGGCUAACUCCGUGCCAGCAGCC
RNAcentral lists this ribosomal RNA (486 nucleotides) under uncultured bacterium. RNAcentral's name for it is "bacterial SSU rRNA". It matches the Rfam family "Bacterial small subunit ribosomal RNA", at positions 28 to 516 of the family's 1533-position model. The record is from RNAcentral.